GGUAGUGUAGCUCAGUGAUAGAGCACUUGCCUAGCAAGCAUGAGGCCCUGGGUUGAAUCCUCAGCACUGCAG
This 72-nucleotide transfer RNA is filed under the name Marmota marmota marmota (Alpine marmot). It matches the Rfam family "tRNA". Rfam says of the family: Transfer RNA (tRNA) molecules are approximately 80 nucleotides in length. Their secondary structure includes four short double-helical elements and three loops (D, anti-codon, and T loops). Further hydrogen bonds mediate the characteristic L-shaped molecular structure. tRNAs have two regions of fundamental functional importance: the anti-codon, which is responsible for specific mRNA codon recognition, and the 3' end, to which the tRNAs corresponding amino acid is attached (by aminoacyl-tRNA synthetases). tRNAs cope with the degeneracy of the genetic code in two manners: having more than one tRNA (with a specific anti-codon) for a particular amino acid; and 'wobble' base-pairing, i.e. permitting non-standard base-pairing at the 3rd anti-codon position. Lineage: Eukaryota; Metazoa; Chordata; Mammalia; Rodentia; Sciuridae. RNAcentral also lists the same sequence under 1 other name. The record is from Rfam by way of RNAcentral.